RNAcentral lists this ribosomal RNA (405 nucleotides) under uncultured bacterium. RNAcentral's name for it is "partial 16S ribosomal RNA". It matches the Rfam family "Bacterial small subunit ribosomal RNA", at positions 28 to 526 of the family's 1533-position model. The record is from RNAcentral.
GAUGAACGCUGGCGGCGUGCCUAAUACAUGCAAGUCGAGCGAAGCGGGGACGGGGGAGUAACACGUGGGUAACCUCCUAUAAGACUGGGGUAACUUAGGGAAACCGGAACUAAACCGGCUACUUAUACCUGGUUCCGCGCUGCAUUAGCUAGUUGGUAAGGUAACGGCUUACCAAGGCAACGAUGCAUAGCAGACCUGAGAGGGUGACCGGCCACACUGGAACUGAGACACGGUCCAGACUCCUACGGGAGGCAGCAGUAGGGAAUCUUGCGCAAUGGGCGAAAGCCUGACGGAGCAACGCCGCGUGAGUGAUGAAGGUCUUCGGAUCGUAAAACUCUGUCAUUAGGGAAGCGGUACCCAAUCAGAAAGCACCGGCUAACUACGUGCCAGCAGCCGCGGUAAUAC